RNAcentral lists this ribosomal RNA (216 nucleotides) under Glomeromycotina sp. RNAcentral describes it as "partial small subunit ribosomal RNA". The stretch from base 40 to 216 matches the Rfam family "Eukaryotic small subunit ribosomal RNA", at positions 686 to 864 of the family's 1831-position model. Lineage: Eukaryota; Fungi; Glomeromycota. The record is from RNAcentral.
GGGUCAGUAGGUUGGUCGUGCCACCGGUACGUACUGGUCUCACUGAUUUCUCCUUCCUGAAGAACCGUAAUGCCAUUAAUUUGGUGUUGCGGGGAAACAGGACUGAUACUUUGAAAAAAUUAGAGUGUUUAAAGCAAGCUAACGCUUGAAUACAUUAGCAUGGAAUAAUGAAAUAGGACGAUCGAUCCUAUUUUGUUGGUUUCUAGGAUUGACGUA